This is a long non-coding RNA of Carcharodon carcharias (great white shark), 2480 nucleotides long. RefSeq lists it as uncharacterized. The transcript is spliced from 3 exons. The record is from RefSeq and is a predicted model, not a curated record. Lineage: Eukaryota; Metazoa; Chordata; Chondrichthyes; Lamniformes; Lamnidae.
ACUUUGGUCAGAGCCUUGUGAGUGCGGGAGACGCUUUUUGCAGCGGGGAGUUAGAAGAUUUGAAAAUUGUGAGAUUUUUCUCUGACUCCAGUGCUUCUGUUAUCUUUUCAACUGCAGGCUCCAGCAGAUUAAAAUUUUGAAAACAGUGAAAUUGUUUCAGAGGUUUUUAGAAGAAGAGGAUUUGCAGCCGUAAAACUUAAACCAAACAUCACAUCAGAAUCUGACAGUCACCCAAUUUAUCGUAACCUGAAUAUCAUUAGAUUUUGAACAUGGAAGGAAAAAGCACCGUUCGCAGUGGGAAGAAACCAUACACGUGUUCUGUGUGUGGACGAGGCUUCAGCCGAACAUCUGGCCUCUCGAAACACAAAUGCAGUCACAACGGGGAGAAGCCAUGGAAAUGUGGGGAUUGUGGGAAAGGAUUUACCCAUUCAUCUAUCUUGCUGAAUCACCAGCGAGUUCACACUGGGGAGAGACCAUUCAUCUGCUUUGACUGUGGGAAGAGGUUCACUCAGUCAUCCCACCUGCUGAGACACCAGCGAGUUCACACUGAAGAAAGACCAUUCACCUGUUCUGAGUGUGGGGCAGGAUUUACUCGGUCAUCCAGCUUGCUGAUACACCAGCGAGUUCACACUGGAGAAAGACCAUUCACCUGCUCCAUAUGUGGGAAGGGAUUCACUCAGUCCGGCAACCUGCAUUUACAUAAACUCACUCACACUGGGGAGAGACCAUUCACCUGCUCAGAGUGCGGAGAUGGCUUCACUCGGUCACCUGACUUGCUGAUACACCAACGAGUUCACACUGAUGAGAGACCUUUUCAAUGCCCAGAAUGUGGGAAGUGCUUUAAAAGUUCUGGGGCGCUGAUAUCCCAUCAACGUGUUCACACUGAUGAAAGACCGUUCAGAUGCUCUCACUGUGGGUCUGGGUUCAAGACAUCAUCUAACCUCACUGUACACCAGCUAAUUCACACUGGGGAGAGACUGUUCACCUGCUCUGACUGUGGGAAGAGAUUCACUCGGUCAUCCAACCUGCUUAAACACCAGCGAGUUCAUGAGUAACUCCCGUGAUUUGAUUUUGCUGUUAACCACACCCAGGACUGAACCAUGUUCAUUGAGAUCUGUUGUUUUCUUCUUCAUCUUUGUCCCAUUUUACUUGGGGUCACCACAAUGCUGCUUGAUCACCUUCUCCAUCUCCUGUCACUCACAUUCUUCUUCCAAUCCCACUGCAUUUCUGUCUCUGGUCACCACAUCUUUCCAUCUGGCCCCUUAGACCUUCCUCUUCUCCUUCUUCCUGACAGACCCAUGUCCAUCACUCACCUCACCACAUUUCCUUUCUCUCUCCACAACAAACAACCGGACCAUUUCAAUCUCUUUUCAGCUACUUUCUUCGAUGUUUCCACAAUCUUCACUGACCCCCUGAUAUACUGGUUCCUGAUCUUGUCCUUUCUUGUCACUCCGCACAUCUAUCUCAGCAUCUGUAUCUCAUUGUAUCCAGUCAUUGUUCCUCUCUUCUUGAUAUUGCCCAACUUUCUGCUCUGUAUAACAAGGCCGGUCUCACAACUGUCCUGUAGAUUCUUCCUUUUCAAUUUCAGUGACACUUUUCGAUCACAUCACAUUUCACUGCACUUUUUCCAAUUACUCCAACCAAAGCUAAUGUGUUUCUUAAUUUCUAUACUUCCAUCUCUGCCAUUGCUGGCCCCAGAUACUUGAAGCUACUCACAUUCUCCAAGUAUUCACCCCUAAUCUCUUCAUCUUCACUCUGAUUCUCUUCCCUAGGCUCAAACUGACAGUCCAUGAAUUGGGUCUUUGGUUCACUAGUGAAGGAAGGAUUUUCUUCCUUUUAAGGAACAAAAUCAGCCGUCCUCAUCCAGUCUGGCCCACACGUGACUCCAGACCCAUAGCAAUGUAGUCGACUCUUAACUGACCCCAGCAAUGGCCUAACAAGUCAGUAAGUUCAAGGGCAGUUAGGCAUGGGCAAAAAAUGCUGGUCUUAUCAGUGACUCCACAUUUCAUGAAAGAAUUAAAAAAAACUAAUCUUCAUACCUGUGCUUUACUCCAGUUCCCCAGAUACUCAGUCAUGUUCUUAUCAUAGCUCAGUGUCAUCUGCAAAUUUCACUCCCUCACAGUUACAACAUGCAAAUCAGGAAGAGGAAGGGAUUCAGUGUCAAUCCUUGGUGCAAUCCAACUUUGAUUUUGAAAAACUCAUUGUCUCCCACAAGAGUCUGGAACUCCUUGGUCAUGUCCUGUAAUAGUCAUACAUACUUCUCAGGGACACCAUGAAUUCGAACACAUCUCCAGACUUCCUCCCUGUGCACCUGGUCAUCAGCCUUCUCCAGAUCCAUGAAUACAAUCUUCGUGUUGCAUUGAACCCCCCAAUAUUCCCCCCUCGCUUGUCUCAAAAUGAAAAUAGCAUUGGGAUCUGUUUCCGCAAAUGUUAAUAAAAUCUAGUCCAGUAAAAGUAAAAUAAAUCAGCUUUCUGUUAAA